RNAcentral lists this ribosomal RNA (256 nucleotides) under uncultured bacterium. RNAcentral's name for it is "partial 16S ribosomal RNA". It matches the Rfam family "Bacterial small subunit ribosomal RNA", at positions 524 to 777 of the family's 1533-position model. The record is from RNAcentral.
UACGAAGGGGGCUAGCGUUGCUCGGAAUCACUGGGCGUAAAGCGCACGUAGGCGGCUUUUUAAGUCAGAGGUGAAAUCCUGGAGCUCAACUCCAGAACUGCCUUUGAUACUGGAGAGCUUGAGUCCGGGAGAGGUGAGUGGAACUGCGAGUGUAGAGGUGAAAUUCGUAGAUAUUCGCAAGAACACCAGUGGCGAAGGUCGGACUCACUGGCCCGGUACUGACGCUGAGGUGCGAAAGCGUGGGGAGCAAACAGGG